UACAGACCAAGUUGAUAAGAGCUAUUGGUGGAUGCCUUGGCAUUGACAGGCGAAGAAGGACGCGAAUACCUGCGAAAAGCUCCGGCGAGCUGGUGAUAAGCAACGACCCGGAGGUAUCCGAAUGGGGAAACCCGGUAGAGUAAUAGUCUACCAUUGUAUACUGAACACAUAGGUAUACAAAGCGACACCUGCCGAACUGAAACAUCUUAGUAAGCAGAGGAAAAGAAAUCGAAGAGAUUCCCUGUGUAGCGGCGAGCGAAAGGGGAAGAGCCUAAACCGAGCUGAAGAAGCGAGGGGUUGUAGGGUUGAGGAAAAAGGAUCAGGACUCCUAGUUGAACACAUCUGGAAAGGUGGAUGAUACAGGGUGAUAGUCCCGUAGACGAAAGGAGAGAAAGACCGACCUCAAUACCUGAGUAGGACUAGACACGUGAAACCUAGUCUGAAUCUGGGGAGACCACUCUCCAAGGCUAAAUACUAGUCAAUGACCGAUAGUGAACCAGUACUGUGAAGGAAAGGCGAAAAGAACCCUUGUUAAGGGAGUGAAAUAGAACCUGAAACCAAUAGCUUACAAGCGGUCGGAGACCUAUGGCCCGUAAGGGUUAAGGUUGACGGCGUGCCUUUU
Molecule: ribosomal RNA, 622 nt
Filed under: Chlamydia suis
Lineage: Bacteria; Pseudomonadati; Chlamydiota; Chlamydiia; Chlamydiales; Chlamydiaceae
Description: partial Domain I of the 23S ribosomal RNA
Rfam family: Bacterial large subunit ribosomal RNA
Source: RNAcentral